Non-coding RNA from Schizosaccharomyces pombe (fission yeast), 299 nucleotides. Lineage: Eukaryota; Fungi; Ascomycota; Schizosaccharomycetes; Schizosaccharomycetales; Schizosaccharomycetaceae. The record is from the annotation of a GenBank genome assembly.
AAACUGUUUGAUAAACUAUGAUAUCAUUUGCCUAUAUUAAGAAUUCACAAGACCUAUAAAUCUUUUUCACUUCAAAUGCGAUUUGAUAUUUAACCUACCAGUCUAAAUACAUAUAGCUUUUAUCCCAGUUUAUAGACUCAUGUUAUUGACAAUUCAAUACUAUUAAGCUACCAUAUCUAUAGUAAUAGGCACAAUUUGCUGAUUGCAUUAACUACGCCUUUUUGAAAACAUAUAAAUGCGACGUUAGACUGCUCUAUGCUUUCCCUUUUAACCCAGUCUUUGUACAACACGUAGGUGAU